This 1474-nucleotide ribosomal RNA is filed under the name Enterococcus hirae. RNAcentral's name for it is "bacterial SSU rRNA". It matches the Rfam family "Bacterial small subunit ribosomal RNA". Lineage: Bacteria; Bacillati; Bacillota; Bacilli; Lactobacillales; Enterococcaceae. The record is from RNAcentral.
ACGCUGGCGGCGUGCCUAAUACAUGCAAGUCGAACGCUUCUUUUUCCACCGGAGCUUGCUCCACCGGAAAAAGAGGAGUGGCGAACGGGUGAGUAACACGUGGGUAACCUGCCCAUCAGAAGGGGAUAACACUUGGAAACAGGUGCUAAUACCGUAUAACAAUCGAAACCGCAUGGUUUUGAUUUGAAAGGCGCUUUCGGGUGUCGCUGAUGGAUGGACCUGCGGUGCAUUAGCUAGUUGGUGAGGUAACGGCUCACCAAGGCGACGAUGCAUAGCCGACCUGAGAGGGUGAUCGGCCACAUUGGGACUGAGACACGGCCCAAACUCCUACGGGAGGCAGCAGUAGGGAAUCUUCGGCAAUGGACGAAAGUCUGACCGAGCAACGCCGCGUGAGUGAAGAAGGUUUUCGGAUCGUAAAACUCUGUUGUUAGAGAAGAACAAGGAUGAGAGUAACUGUUCAUCCCUUGACGGUAUCUAACCAGAAAGCCACGGCUAACUACGUGCCAGCAGCCGCGGUAAUACGUAGGUGGCAAGCGUUGUCCGGAUUUAUUGGGCGUAAAGCGAGCGCAGGCGGUUUCUUAAGUCUGAUGUGAAAGCCCCCGGCUCAACCGGGGAGGGUCAUUGGAAACUGGGAGACUUGAGUGCAGAAGAGGAGAGUGGAAUUCCAUGUGUAGCGGUGAAAUGCGUAGAUAUAUGGAGGAACACCAGUGGCGAAGGCGGCUCUCUGGUCUGUAACUGACGCUGAGGCUCGAAAGCGUGGGGAGCAAACAGGAUUAGAUACCCUGGUAGUCCACGCCGUAAACGAUGAGUGCUAAGUGUUGGAGGGUUUCCGCCCUUCAGUGCUGCAGCUAACGCAUUAAGCACUCCGCCUGGGGAGUACGACCGCAAGGUUGAAACUCAAAGGAAUUGACGGGGGCCCGCACAAGCGGUGGAGCAUGUGGUUUAAUUCGAAGCAACGCGAAGAACCUUACCAGGUCUUGACAUCCUUUGACCACUCUAGAGAUAGAGCUUCCCCUUCGGGGGCAAAGUGACAGGUGGUGCAUGGUUGUCGUCAGCUCGUGUCGUGAGAUGUUGGGUUAAGUCCCGCAACGAGCGCAACCCUUAUUGUUAGUUGCCAUCAUUUAGUUGGGCACUCUAGCAAGACUGCCGGUGACAAACCGGAGGAAGGUGGGGAUGACGUCAAAUCAUCAUGCCCCUUAUGACCUGGGCUACACACGUGCUACAAUGGGAAGUACAACGAGUCGCAAAGUCGCGAGGCUAAGCUAAUCUCUUAAAGCUUCUCUCAGUUCGGAUUGUAGGCUGCAACUCGCCUACAUGAAGCCGGAAUCGCUAGUAAUCGCGGAUCAGCACGCCGCGGUGAAUACGUUCCCGGGCCUUGUACACACCGCCCGUCACACCACGAGAGUUUGUAACACCCGAAGUCGGUGAGGUAACCUUUUGGAGCCAGCCGCCUAAGUGGGAUAGAUGAUUGGGG